CCUACGGGAGGCAGCAGUGAGGAAUAUUGGUCAAUGGACGAGAGUCUGAACCAGCCAAGUAGUGUGAAGGAUGACUGCCCUAUGGGUUGUAAACUUCUUUUAUAUGGGAAUAAAAUGUUCCACGUGUGGGAUUUUGUAUGUACCAUAUGAAUAAGGAUCGGCUAACUCCGUGCCAGCAGCCGCGGUAAUACGGAGGAUCCGAGCGUUAUCCGGAUUUAUUGGGUUUAAAGGGAGCGUAGGUGGAUUGUUAAGUCAGUUGUGAAAGUUUGCGGCUCAACCGUAAAAUUGCAGUUGAAACUGGCAGUCUUGAGUACAGUAGAGGUGGGCGGAAUUCGUGGUGUAGCGGUGAAAUGCUUAGAGAUCACGAAGAACUCCGAUUGCGAAGGCAGUUCACUGGACUGCAACUGACACUGAGGCUCGAAAGUGUGGGUAUCAAACAGGAUUAGAUACCCCGGUAGUC
This 460-nucleotide ribosomal RNA is filed under the name uncultured bacterium. RNAcentral's name for it is "partial 16S ribosomal RNA". It matches the Rfam family "Bacterial small subunit ribosomal RNA", at positions 338 to 795 of the family's 1533-position model. The record is from RNAcentral.